GGCUCAGGAGUGUAGGCUGGGCCAGAGUGGGCAGUGGCGGUCCCUAGGCUGGGGCAGGGCUGGGAAAUGUGUGAGGAGCAGAAAGGGACUCACCUGUCCCCGAGAGGCACGCAGUCAGCAGGCACGUGAGGCUCCCUGAGGCCCCUCCCCCGGAGUCUCCAAGCUCUGACUGGGCAGGUCUGGGCCAGCGGGGGGCUCAGCACAAGGCCCAGGCCUGUCAGCAGCGCAGUUGCCAAGCCGACAGCCAGCAGCACCCCUGAAAGUUGCGGGGAGAGCGGAAGGGCCACAUGAUGACCACUCAGAACCUCCCCAGGCUGCGCUGGCCCGGAGAGCAGCGUUUUGCAUUUGCCCCUUGGCCCUGGUCUCUCUGUCUUGCUGCCUUCAGGCUUUAACUCCUCAUAGCUCCCUGUAGAUCAACCUCAUUCCUGCCUCUGGGGCUUUGUGAUGUCAGGUGUCCUCCUGGGAAUGCUCCUCUCCCCACACCCCACCAUGUAAGACCCCUCCCAGGACAUUGCUGCUGGCCUUCCCGGCAGGUCCCAGCACUGCCCUGUGCUUCAUGUGGCUUGCUGGCUGCCCUGUGCCCAGGUGGCUUAGCACCUGGCCCCUGCAGGGCAGUGUUCUCUGUCCCACCUGGGUGGGGGCCAUGAAUGCCCCAUGCUCUGGGCUCAGCCGGAGGGCUCAGUGCAGACUGCUGACUCAUGAAGACAAGAAGGAAACAAGAUGAGAAAACCCAGAGAGGAGGUUACAGGAGGCACCCCUGCGAUCCUGGUACUCUACCGUGCAACUCACUCACCGCGCAGGGACUCGCUCCCCAGGGAAGCUCCCAGGACUGAGGCACAGAAGUCUGACACCUCCACGGGCUGCAGGAGGAGUCUCAGAAUGCUGGAGCUGAAACAUCUGCUCAAGAUAUGGAAUGAAGGCCCCCAGGGAAGUGACCGAACAGGCCGAGAGCAGGGGACAGCACCAGCCUGUGCCCCACGACUUCGAAGGCACGGUCUGUACGUGAUGUCACCAGGCAGACGGAUAGGGAGGGAUGAGGGAGCCAGAGCGGGAGGGCGGGGCCGAGGGGCAGACUCACUGUCAGGGUGAAUCUGAAGCUGGAAAAGAAUCACGUCCUCUUCUAUCAAGCAGAUCACUGGGUUUGGAAUGUGGGGAGGGAUGCUGGGGGCCUGGGGGACAGGGUAUGCCGGGCCUGCAGUCCAGCGACGCCUUUGCAGCCGGGAGCUGGACACAGGUGGUCCUGGAAGAGUUUGGGGGCGAAAAGCUGAAGGACCUGGCCUGUCUGGGGAGGCAUACACACCGCCUGUUGGCCCCACCCUGUCUCGAUUCCCUUUUAAGAGCAGUUCCAGCCCUUCUGGGGCCCUUGCCUCCCCAAAGACUGUCUUCCUACCUGGCCUUCUGUGUCCCUGCCAGACCCUGGCCUCCUGAACCCUGGGACAGAGCUGAGAGAUUUCUAGGGGCUGCAGCUGCGCCUCGCAGUGCGGUCGCCUUCCCCUUCCAGGAGGAAAGCAGCCACGCCCUCACUCCACCCACUUUCUCUGGGAGAGCCUGGGCUUGGUACCACGUGCUUACCAAGGAGGGAGCCAAGCAUGGCCAUGCUGGAGAUGACAAGGCCGAAGAUGCCGUGGGGGCCACACUGGACCAGAUGGACCCUGGCGCUCCCUUGGAAGGAUGGGUCUGGGCCCAGAGCGCUGGCUACUUCCUGAGAACACGCAUCACAGCAUCAUACGCCCGGGGAGAGGAGGAGGGGCAACGAGGCUCCCAGAGGUGGGGGCGCAGAGACCAGACUGAGCCCUUGGGCACAGCCCCUGGUGAGGGGGCUCAGAGACGUCCACUGUCAGCCUCCUUCCUCACUGAAACUUGCCCGGGUGGCCACCUGUGCCUGGGUCCCUCCCCAUCUUCAGAAAACACCCCUGACUUAACUCAGUCCCUGUACUGAGCCACUGUUUGCCCCUUGUUUCUAUCUGCCUGCAAAUGUCCUACUUAUGGAACAACUUAGAAACAUGUCCCUAUCACCCCAAAUCUGCUGUCCA
Long non-coding RNA from Equus caballus (horse), 2033 nucleotides. Lineage: Eukaryota; Metazoa; Chordata; Mammalia; Perissodactyla; Equidae. The record is from Ensembl.